RNAcentral lists this ribosomal RNA (650 nucleotides) under uncultured bacterium. Its description in RNAcentral is "bacterial SSU rRNA". It matches the Rfam family "Bacterial small subunit ribosomal RNA", at positions 81 to 762 of the family's 1533-position model. The record is from RNAcentral.
GGGGUGUAACUUUAGUGGCGGACGGGUGAGUACACGUGAGAAUUUACCUUUAGGUGGGGAAUAACAGUUGGAAACGACUGCUAAUGCCGCAUAUCAUAGAAAUAUGAAAGAAGAAAUUCGCCUAAAGAAAAGCUUGCGUCUGAUUAGCUAGUUGGUGAGGGUAAGGGCCUACCAAGGCGACGAUCAGUAGCUGGUUUGAGAGGAUGAUCAGUCACACUGGAACUGAGACACGGUCCAGACUCCUACGGGAGGCAGCAGUGGGGAAUUUUCUGCAAUGGGCGAAAGCCUGACAGAGCAAUACCGCGUGAGGGAAGAAAGCCCACAGGGUUGUAAACCUCUUUUGUCAAGGAAGAAGUUCUGACGUUACUUGACGAAUAAGCAUCGGCUAACUCCGUGCCAGCAGCCGCGGUAAGACGGAGGAUGCAAGUGUUAUCCGGAAUCACUGGGCGUAAAGCGUUUGUAGGUGGUUUAGUAAGUCUAUUAUUAAAUCUUGAAGCUUAACUUCAAAACUGUAAUGGAAACUACUAAACUUGAGGAUAGUAGGGGUGAAGGGAAUUUCCAGUGGAGCGGUGAAAUGCGUAGAGAUUGAAAGAACACCAAAAGCGAAGGCAACUUACUGGGUCACUACUGACACUGAGGAGCGAAAGCAU